This is a long non-coding RNA of Toxorhynchites rutilus septentrionalis, 1035 nucleotides long. RefSeq lists it as uncharacterized. The transcript is spliced from 2 exons. The record is from RefSeq and is a predicted model, not a curated record. NCBI's taxonomy places the organism in Eukaryota, Metazoa, Arthropoda, Insecta, Diptera, Culicidae.
UCAAAAUUUGUAAACAUGGUUGAAAACAGUUAAAUGUGGAAUCAUGGUGCGAAAAUAUAUCAGAACAUCCGAAAAGUGGUCACAGACCAGCUUGAACUCGGCCACCGAAGCAGCAAAGACAAGUACGACAGUGUGACAAGUAUCCUUAGUGCAUUGUGUCCCGCGAGAAACACUUAUUUCGUUCUGCAGAUCCUUUGCUGCUCCAUAUUUCUCACCCUUUCAAUAGUCAAAAGCAAUUAGCCGGAAUAGAUUGGCUGGCUGGUUUUUGAAAGUGUCACUCACAAAUCUCACUUCGGACACCAGAAGCAACGUCCGCCGGCAGGACUAAAUGAUUCAAUCGCGUUGCAGUCGGGAAAUUCUACGAUUUACUGGAGGAGGUACAGCAGACAUACAACACUCCACCAGAAAGGCAAUUCAACGUCGAUAAAACAUCAGUGAUUCGGGUGCAGACCAAAAAUUCCCUAAUGUGCACCCGUGGCCGAGUGGUUAGCAUCUCACAUUAUCAUGCCGGGUGUUCGGGUUCGAUUCCCGUUCUGGCCGGGGGGGAUUUUUCGUCAGAGAAAUUUCCUUUGACUCGCACUGUGGUCACGCGUAUUCUUGAGCUUGCCCCUCGGAUUACAUUCAAGGCGUGUUGUUUGGCUUAAGAAAUCUCAACUAAGUAUUAAUGAAUGACGCUAGUUCAUGCAUACGUUGAGACGGCAAAAGUUCCACAGGGAACGUUAACGCCAUUCAAGAAGAAGAAGAAAGAGGAAGACCAAAAAUUCCAAAAUCCUAGCAAUGCGGAGAAAAGGCAGAUGAGCGCUGAGUGCUGAGCAAGGAAUAACCAUUAUAGAAUAUUCCUUAUGUUGCUACUGUGGGACACAAUUCAGUUCCUCUACGGGUGGCCAUAAACGGAACCAAUGCACAGAUAUUCUCUGUUCCUGAUUUGAGCAACGUAAAAUUGUAGUCCAAUCACUUUGAUCAUAUUGUAUUUUUUUUACAUGCAAACUGAAUGAAAUCCAAUCAAAUACACGUGAAAGUUGCUAAAUAGAAGAA